GGUUAUUAAAUGCUUUAUACAUCAUGUGGUGGUCCAAAAAUUGUGAAACCAAUUUUGUUAGCUUCCAUUUAUCAUGUAUGCUCCAGAUCUAUAACUUGUAUUAGUGGAAUCUAUGGUUUUCGUGUUGUUUUAAAUCUAAUGCUUAUUUGCUAUCUUAAUUUUGUUAUUUGCAUGAUAAUUAGUGGGAAUUUGAUAAAAUAUUCAAACCACUUCUGUUAACCUUUGUUGUCCAGAUAGAAUCCAGAAAAAAUGAUGUUGAUACUUUUAUGGUGGAUUUACAAGCCUUUUUGGAUUUAAUGUGCUUAAUACUAGUUUAUCUUAUUUAUUUUAUAUCUUCACAUUAAAAAUGGAUUUUGAGGUGAAUCCAAUUCUCAUAAUCUUGUAUUGGUGUCUUCUAUCCGUGCAAUUUAUUUCAUAGUUAUUCCUCAACAUAUGAUUUCAAUCUUGCAAUUUCGUGUUUGCUUUGGCUUACCGUACAAAAUAGUUUCUCUCAUCGUUCUUGUAUGGUUUUUGAUAUGAACCCGCUAUGGUUGAUUCCCG
This 540-nucleotide long non-coding RNA is filed under the name Setaria viridis. RNAcentral's name for it is "long non-coding RNA (SVIR_LNC007634)". The record is from RNAcentral. Lineage: Eukaryota; Viridiplantae; Streptophyta; Magnoliopsida; Poales; Poaceae.